Long non-coding RNA from Puntigrus tetrazona (Sumatra barb), 358 nucleotides. RefSeq lists it as uncharacterized. The transcript has 3 exons. Lineage: Eukaryota; Metazoa; Chordata; Actinopteri; Cypriniformes; Cyprinidae. The record is from RefSeq and is a predicted model, not a curated record.
UAUGUAUAGCAGUGAGUUCAGCCUUCUGUCCGUCUGCGGCGCUCCUCCUGAGGUGUUACUCCCUUGUGUUAGUGAACCGCUGCUCCUCAAGUGGCUCCGCUGGAGGAUUCGGGCCCCGAUGACUCACGCCAUCUGUUAGCAGCUCUUGUACGAUCACACUUCUGUGUUCCUUCCAAUAAACAGAAAGAGCCAGUGAUUUUGCAGAGAUGCUUUGAUGGUCCAGAGAAACACUCUACAGAAGAACCCACAGAAAGCGCUACCACCGAUGUCCAAAACAUUACAAAGUUCUCCUUUCACUGUCCUCUCAGUCGGAGCACCUCAUCUCUUUUUGUCACCCUCUUGGAUGUCUCUCUGUUCC